UUGCGCCCUGAGGAGGUUUGCUCACGCUGGACCGUGGCGACGUGGCGUGGGCAGGAGGGAUCCUGGUGUCUCCCGGGCCGGGUCGGUAAACGGACCGGGAGGAGGUCCUCGGCAGAGCCUCUUGGCCGUGCUCACGAAACAGACUUACAGCCUCAAAACGUAAUGUGAUGAUGCGUCCCUUUGCGCUCUGCGCAGAGCUGGCCCGAAGUGAGGCAGGUUAUUCGUGGGGCCGAGGGGCCAGAAGCAGGUGUCGGAGGCCAGGGAGGGCGUUCUUCAGGUUGCGCAUUACCCGCUUGGGCUUUCACGGCGCUGAGUUUACGCUUCCGUUUUACCCUUAGACACUGGGGAAAGGACCAGAUGGACGCAGUGAACCUUCUUUCACUGACUUACCUGUGUUCCGGAGUUCAGCAUCUGUGCCUGCGAGCCUAACUGGUAAAGGAAUUUAGGUUGGUGGAGCUGAGUGGAACUGAGGAGGGCAGGCACUGGAGAUCUGAGUAUCCAGCUCCGAAAAGCAGGUAGAACUACGGAAGUACAGUACUUGCUAGGCUCUCGACCGAUACCGGGACGAAGUCGUCUUGGUAAGAUUUGGAAGAUGGUAAAUGACUUGUACACUUUUUACGGACGAAGUUUCACUUCUGAAGCAUGCUUAAAACGCAUUCAGGGCUGAGGAUUUAGCUCAGCGGCACCGAACCUGCCUCUCAAGCACAAGGUCCUGAGUUCAAUCACCGGUACCAAAACAAACAAAAACCGCAUUCAGAUUUCUGCUUCCACAGUUCCUGAGGUGGAGCCUUGAUUGAAAAUCAUUGCAACCUAAUCACCCCACCCUGAAUGAACUAUAUGGUAUCUAAUUCCACAUUACCUAAAACAGGAAAGAGGAAGUUAGUAGUCCCCACUGUUGCUGGUAUUUGUGCCAUAAUCUUGAAGGGAGCCGCCUAAGAUGAAAUAGAUACCGUGGACAGCACAGUUGAAAGAUUGAAAGAAACUGGGUCAUUGAUAACAUUGUUAAGAUAGCUAGAUCCACCAACCACAGAGCCUGUUCAGCAACUGGACUCUUCAUUGACAUGGGCCACUACUCUUCUGUAUUAAUGAAACCAGUUCAAGUUGCUUUGCUUGCAAGUUUAAUUAUUGUGUUGGAGAGCAUCCUAACUGAUAUGUACAGAUAAAUCUAAGACUAGGUUCCUAAAAAUAGGUAUUUUUUCCCUUCCUAUAGCAGAGGAGCAUAUACCAUAGAGUUGUGAAGCUUGAAUUUCAGUACCUUUACUUGUUUAGGACCCUUGUUAGCCUUCUACCAAAUUUUACACUUGUAAUUUUGUAUUCUUUAAAGAGUACCACCCAACUUGUAUAAGCUUUAGGCUUCACAAAACCUGUGAGAUGAUUUGGGGAGAAAACUUCGCCUUUCUCUCCAGUCCCUUCCAUUCAUGUCUUCCUAGGAGAGGAAUGACUUAUCUAAUUGGUAAAUAGCUGAAAGGUUUACAACCCAUGUGUGGCCUGGUCUCUCUUGACUCUCAUUCAUAUCUGCCUGCCACAGUGGUAGGCUCACUGCAGCCAUCCCUGGAUGACACAAUGUAAACAAGCAGUUGCUGCCAUUGACCUCUUCUUACCAAACUGUCAGCCUCCUGUACAUUUGAAAAACAAUGUAUUAAUACGAUAGUUGUGAAAAUCGUGAAGAAAGAACUCUGAAAAGGAAGCUUUGGGAGACAUAGAGAACAAGUAGUCAAGGAUUAGAGCCUUCUGUAUUAUCAUCCCUAGCCAUCAGUGGUGCAGGUGCUGACCCAUCCCUCUCCAAUUUGCCCUCAGUUUCCAGUAUUUUCCCUCAAUUGUCUGUGCUCCUGGGAUGCAGUUUGCACCUGUCAAGUGACUGCACAGAUUAAUUCCAGAGGAUGAUGAAUUAGAAUCCCAUUUUGACCCCGGGUCCAAGCUGUUUACACUAUUUCAACGUAAUCAGCAACAGUGGUGAUAAUGAGCACGUCUAAUGCCUGUGAAUAUUUGUUUCUCAACUCAGAAAGGUGAAGAGUAUGAUGAUCACCCUGAAAUAAAAACAGAAGGAGCCAAAAAUAGCAAUGAUAUAUGUAUAGAAAUGCUGAAUGACCAUUAAAUACAAAGCAGACCACUAGGUGCUAUGAAAGGUACAUAUGCAAUCACACAGUAACUCCAGAUCUCAGGGAUUUUGCAUCUACAAAGGAUAUAACACACAUCCUUACUUAUGAAGGUAACUCCAGUUCAAACAUUUUACAUAUAUUCAGUUAUAUUAGCUUGAAUGUAUGGAAUUGGCAUUUUUGGAGGCACAGAGUAUUUGAAUGUCAGCAUUUUCAUAUGGCCAACCUGAUGUUACCAGCAUUCAAAGUAUUGAUGAUUACAGAUGUUCCUUGACUUCUGAUGGGGUUACGUCUUGAUAAAUACAUCUUAAAUUGAAAAUACCACAGAUCAAAAAUGCAUUUAACACAUCUACCUUACCAAACACCAUAGCUUAACAAUAUAGUGCCCUUUAGGGUACUGAUUGCCUCCUUCUGUGAUCAUAUGGCUGACUGGGAGCUGUGGCUCGAUGCCACUGCCUACCCAUCUUGGGAUGCUAGCCUAGGACAAGAUCAAAAUUCCACAUUCAAAGUAAGCAUUCUGCUGCAUGUGCAUCACUUUCACACUAUAGUAGAGUCAAGAAUUCUUAAGUCAAACUUUCCUAAGGGCUGUCAGUUGUUGACCUGAAUCUGGUGCCACUGCAUUGCAGUUAGCAUCUGUAGACCUCUGACAUUACUUGCUUCCUGUCACACUUUGAAAGUUUUCACACUUGGCUGUCACUUUUUCUGAUAUAAUUUAUGUGAACAUUUUUGGUGAUUUCAAAAUCCACAAAAACAAUCUGUCUGUCUGUCUGUCUGUCUUUCUUUCUGACAGUCUUUCUAAUAUUCUGGUUUCUUGGCAUUUUCUCUUACAAUACUCUUGGCCUCCUUUACAUUAAAUAUCCAAUUCUGUGGUCAUCGCUCUUUUUUUUUUUUAGUACUGGGGAAUUAUAGCUAGCCUUGCAAAUGCUAGGCAAGCACUCUAGUACUGGGCAAUAUCCCCAGCAAUGAGAUCAUAUCUUUAACAUUGGAACAUCUACUUCCUCUUGCUUCUGGGAUAUCACUGCCUUUUGAUUCUUUUCUGACUCACUGGGCACAUUCUGAAUAUACUCUGUUGUUUUCUUCUCAUCAGCUGACCUGUAUAUGUAGAAGUACUCAGAGCUUGGUCUUCAAAUGUCUUUUCUUCUUUACAUAUACUUAUCCUUUCUAUGAUCGCAUCCAAUCGCAUGGCCUUCGUGCUCUCUGAAUAUUGAUGACUGUUAUGGUUUAAUGCUUCUCCUCUAAAAUGUAGGUGUUGCCAAUUUGAUAUUAUUAAGAGGUGACCUUUAAUAGGUGGCUUCACCUAGCUUUUGGCCUCUUUUACCCUUCUGCUUUCUCUGAUUCGAGGAUGCAGUAUGAAGGCCAGAAACUUGAUCUUGAACUUCCCAAUCUCUAGAACUGUGAGAAAAUAAAUUAAAAAAAAAUUAUCCAUUCUCAAUACUUUGUCAUUAUAUGGUAUUGGGGAUUGAAGAGCCCUUAUAGUGAGCUACAUCUCCAGCACUUUUUGAUGUUUUAUUUUGACAUGGUCUCACUAUAUCACUAAGUUACCCAGGCUGGGGUCAAACUUGUGAUCUUCCUGUCUAAGUCUCCCAGAGUGCUGAGAUUACAGGCAUUUGCUACCACCCCAAGCUGAUUUUUCUCUUUCUUACCACAUUCUCACUAUAUCAGCAAAUCCUAUUGGUUUUACCUUCAAUAUAUGCGGAGUCCAAUCACUUCUCACCACAUCUACUUUGCCUUAGCUCAGGUUAUUCUCAUCUUGAUUACUCCAUUUUUUUCCCAUCAUCCAUUAAAUCUCCAUGUAGACCAUGCCACUCUUCUCAGAACUGUCUGGUGACUUCCUAUCUUACUAAAAAUGAAAGCCAGUGUUCUUACUGUGGCCUGUAAGACCACUUAAGUCUGGUUAGCCUCCUGUUACCUGUCUGAUCUCAUGCCCUACAAGUUUCUCUUUUUCUCAUGAUAGUUCAUCCAAAUAGGCCUUCUUUCUAAACUUCAGACAUGCUAAGAAUGUUUCACAUCAGGAACUUAGCACUUACUGUUCCAUGAUGAAUUGUUCUUUCCACAUAUAUAUGUGGAUCACUCAAAUGUUCAAAUAAAUCCUUCUAAGGGACUUCUUCCUACAGCUUCACAUGUAAGAUAGUACUCUGUGGGUACUCCCUAUCCCUACCUCACUUGACCUGACUGCAGAUGUUAUCACUACCUGAUGUAAUACAUAUUCUCCUUUUUAUUUUUUAGCAUGAGUCUUCCUCUAACCAGAAGACAAACUCCAUAAGAGCAAGACUUUGCUUUAUUUACUACUAUAUUCUCAGUGAUGUUUGACAUGGUUUAGCAUGAUGUUGGCAUGGUCAGUGAAUAUUUGUUGGUUAAAUGAAUUAACUAAAAUAACUGCAUUAACAUAUACCACAUGAUAUCUAAAAUAAUAAAGAAUUACCAAAUUAUAAUUGGAUUGUUUUCCAGAAGUUUUAAAGUUGGCCGUUUGGAGAAUAUAUGUAUAAAUAUAUUCCCUACAAAGAGGAAGUGCUGUUAUCCUCACGGGGAGAAAUAUGAGACUUAUGCUAAGUACUUCUACCUAGGUUUCCUGAUUCUGAGGUGUGUACACCUCACCACUACAAUAAAUUUCCAGAUCAGAUCACAAAAUAUUAUGUAAGUCAUAUAACUCAUUUAAGGUGGUAUAUUAAAAGGAAGGAUGAAAAUGGAAGAUACCCAUCUUAUGUGCAAUUAGCUAUAUCUAGACUUCAGGUGCUCUUCCUAGCUUUCUAGAUUUUGCAGCCAAUUACAUUUGUUCUUCUCUUUCAUCAACCUAUCUCUUCCUAUUUCCCCCUUACAGAAACACACACACACACACAUAAACUUUGAUUCUAUGAUCAGUUACUCACCUGCCACUACGAUAAGUGUUUUUGCCUCCUGUCCUCCCACUCCCCUUUACUUUUCCCUGUUCUGUAAAAACACAAUCCUGGAUACAUACAGCUAUCUGUAUCUUCCACAUAUCUGGAUCUGGACUGCUGUAUUAGGAAAGGAUUUUCUAAACAAAACCUCGAUGACACAAGAAAUAGAAGCAAAAAUCAACAAAUGGGAUUAUAUCAGACUAAAAAGCUUCUGUACAGCAGAAGAAUCAGUCAGAGUGAAGAGACAACCUACAGAAUGGGAAAAAAUGUUGCCAGCUACUCCUCAGACAGAGGA
Heterocephalus glaber (naked mole-rat) is the source of this 5267-nucleotide non-coding RNA. Lineage: Eukaryota; Metazoa; Chordata; Mammalia; Rodentia; Bathyergidae. The record is from RefSeq and is a predicted model, not a curated record.